AUGGGUCAUACAGGGAGCUGUACCUGAGGGAGCAUCCUGCAGCCGCCGGCGACGUGGAAGAACACAUGCGCAGGCUGAUCGCCAAGGAGUGGCAGGAGCUCAACCGGGAGUGCUUCUCCAGGAGGACCUUCUCUUCCUGCUUGGCGCAGGCCUGCCUGAACGCCGCCAGGAUGGUCAGCGUCAUGUACAUGUAUGACAAGGAGCACAGGCUCCCUGUCCUUGAGGACUACAUGAGGCUGCUGCUGCUUUGAAACCUACUGCUCCAGCCUCCAGCUCAUCCUCAUAGAUGCGAAUCCAUGCAUGCAAGAUGGCAAGUGCGCUAUUAUGCUAUUAUUAAAACAAAGUGUGUUACUAACAACUAGCAGUAUGUGAGAGAUAGAUAUAGAUUAGGGACUAAGGAGUAGACAGGAGAGGAUAGAUUUAAUUAAUCCAGUUUGUACCUGUAUGGCAUAAUGGCAUUUUUUCCUCCUCUGGUUCUCUGCUUUCAUCGUGGACUAUUUCACUAUUACAUAAGUGGGCUACAGUCCUGGUUAAUUAGGAAAGACCUUUCAUAUUGUUUUUUUCGACCAAGACUGCGAAUCCAGGAUGUUAUGUGGUUAUGUACCGAAAAUGUACAUGUGGUUAUGUGAGAAUAUAUAUGUGUGGUUAACUGGUUAUGUACUCGAAAUAUAUAUAAUUAUGUACUCAAAAUAUACAAUAAAUAAACAAAACUCUGUUUUUGUUUUUUUGCAAGGGGUAAAACGGUCCAUAGAGCAAAUAAAUUUUGUUUUGAGGCCAUAAAGCCAAAAUUUGGACACAAUUUUGUUCAUGUCUCCUAUAAGAUUAAUGUGUGUGUAAGUUUGUACUUUCUUCAUGGAAAUAAUAAUUCUGCUUGGUCAAUUUGAAAGUCGAGGAAAGAUCAAUUUUUUUUUUGAAACGAACCGGCAGGAGAGCUGCCUGCUAUAUUAAAAAGAGGAGAGUGCCAAGACAGGCAAAAUACAAACACGAAAAAAAGCAGCACCCGCAGAGGGUGAAAGGAGAAAAAAUAUACACAGGAGUGCCAAUCAAAACUGUAGACGGUGGUGAUUCACGAAAUCGUCCAGGUGCUUUGCUCCUGCCAUGAUCCACACUCUCACCCCCUCCUUGAUCUUUUGGAGAACCCCCAAGUUUGUGGACUCCGCUCGUUGAAAAAUUCUAGCAUUCCUUCCAAAUUUCCCAACAAAUUAGGAUGAUAAUCGACCGGAGGCCUCUCUUGUUUACACUAGGCACGUCUGAUAUGGCUGUCCACCACCUCUCUAGGUUGUCGCUAGGUGGCCAGGCAUUUGGCUGUAAUUCAUGGUUUGCUGUCCAAACGGCGAUUUCACUCCACAGACGUUUCGUGAACCUACAAUCUUUGAAAAGGUGCAAGCCCGUUUCUGCAUGUAGUCUACAUAGAGGGCAGAUCCUUUGGUUUGGCCAAUUUCGUGCUUGUAAUCUGUCAGCAGUCCAAAUUCGGUUUUGUAUGGCAAGCCAGCUGAAGAAUUUGCAUUUAGGCGGCGCCCAUGCCUUCCAAAUAAUAGUUUCAAAAUUAUUGCGGGUUGUGCCUAUAAACUGGGCGUGGUAGGCUGACGAAGCAGAGUAGUCACCAUUUUUCUGGAAUUUCCAUGUGAGGGUAUCUGGCGUCCCUGUUCUCAACGUGAUGCGCCUGGCCUCUUGCCACAGAUGCCUGUACUCAACAAAGUGCUGGGCAGAAAAGCUUGAAUGUUGUAGGCUGAUGUCAUGUAUCCAGUUGUUGUCGAGUAGAGCUUGAUGCAGCGUUCUGUUUUUUUUCCUGGAAAUAGAGUAAAAAUGUGGCACUACAUCACAGGGGCGCUGGCCAUUUAGCCAUGCACUCUUCCAGAAAGACGCUCGUUCUCCAUUUCCAAUUGUGAGCGUUGUGGAAGCCGCAAAGAUUUAGACAACUGCAGCCAUCAAUUUGGACACAAUUUAGGAUGUAUUAUAUAAGACAUAUAUGUCAAUUUGUAUUCGAAGCUAGUGCUUGCAAAAUCUCUCAUGUACUUAAAGGGCGGGAUAUAUCAUAGAAAAAACACACAAGUGGCUCAAGACAAAUAUCGAAGAUCAUUCAAAAUGAAAUAAAUUCAGAAAACACUGUCUCUGGAGGGGAUCUGAUGAUAAUAGCAGAAUUAAUGCUAAGGCUGCUUGGAGUCUGGUCGCUAGGACAAAACAGAAUGGUGGACUUGGGGUUUUGGAUUUGAGAACCCAGAACGAAGCCCUCCUUCUAAAACAGUUACACAAGUUCUUCAAUCGAGCUGAUAUUCCUUGGGUGCAUUUAGUUUGGGAAAAACACUAUAACAAUGGAAAGCUUCCUGGCCAUACUAAGAAGGGGUCCUUCUGGUGGUGGGACGUUUUAAAACUGCUUGACAAGUUUAAAGGCAUGGCAACCCCCCAAAUCAAUGAUGGCGCCACUUGCCUCUUCUGGGAUGAUUGCUGGGCUGGCCAACCCCUCAAGCAGACAUUCCCUGAACUUUUCUCGUUUGCCAAGAAAGCUGAAAUCUCCCUUAAAAAUACCCUUGCUGAAAGUCAGUUCUAUAGGCUCUUUAAUCUUCCUCUCAGCAUCCAGGCCUUUGAUCAGCUUCAGGAGUUACAAGAGUUCUAGCAUAGUUUAAACCCCAGCUCUAAUUUGGAUGUUUGGAGAUACAUUUGGGGAGAUAGCACAUUCUCUCCUAAGCAAGCCUAUAAUCAACUCAUGGGAACAAAUGAAGUUCACCCUAUCUUUAGCUGGAUUUGGAAAUCUUCAUGUCAUUUGGAAAUCUUCAUGUCAGCCGAAACAUAAAGUCUUUUUCUGGCUUGUUCUCCUUGACAGAGUCAGCACCAGGAAUCUUUUAAGAAGGAAGCAGAUGUUUCUUCCUUCAUAUAACUGCGCUCUCUGUAAUGAUGACAUGGAAGAAUAUGUUGAUCAUUUGUUUCUGGACUGCAGAAUCGCCAGAGAUUGUUGGGCGUUGAUUGGAUUAUCAGUAACCAGCUCGCCUGACAUGGUUCAAAAAUUUGAAAAUCUCAGAAACAAAAUUGGUAAGAGAUUCUUCAUAGAGAUAAUUAUCAUUAUGUGCUGGAGUAUCUGGACCAUCCGAAAUGAUGCCGUCUUCAGGGAAGUCCCAGCUUGCAGCCUCAGGUGUUUGGAAAUCUUCAGAAGCACCUUCAAGCAACUCCUUUGGAGAGCGAAGAAAAAAUACUUUCCUGCAAUUGAACUAUGGCUGAGCAAGCUGUAUUCUAGUUUCAAUUUUUUUUCUUUCCUUUUUUGUUCCCUAAUGUUCCUUUCAGUCUGUUCUGUUUUGUUUAUAUCUUGUAAACGCUGGUUUUGUUUCUUUUUAAUAAAAUUCCCAGUAGAGGUCCUCCCGGACCUCUCCUGUUCGCUCAAAAAAGUAUUAUUUGUGACCAAGGGAUCGGCCGCGCGUCAGCAUCAUGUCGUAGGUUAGGUCCAAGAGUGUCACCAUCAUUUGAUUUUUGGAAAAAUAUAUAAUAAACGCGCGCUCUCACUCUCCACCACCACUGACGCUUGCAUUGGCACACCAGAGAGGCAUCACGGAUGUACGAAAGACUUUUCUUGGAUGUGGACGGAGCGGCCGGGAGAUGAUGGCCACCGUCGACAACCUGAAGCGCCUCUGCAUCGAUCACUACUUCGAGGAAGAGAUCCACAGUGCCAUGACCACCACAUCCACAUGCAUGGAUCUCCUCCACAGCCAUGACCUCCUCGAUGCAACCCUCUCCUUCAGGCUCAUGAGAGAGACCGGGCAUCAUGUGCAACACUCGGCAAAAGAAGGGCACCCAGCAAAAUAAAAGUAACCUGACGGCCGCCCCCGCGUACGCUGUUAAAAAAUAUGUAUUUUGCCGAGAGCCGGCAUAAGCACUCAGCGAAGACGCUUGCUUUGCCGAGUGCCGGGAUGUGGCACUCGGCAAAGAGGCCUCUUCACCGUUUGCCGAGUGCAGCUGCCUAGCACUCGGUGAAGUUUUUUUUGUUUUUUGUUUUUUUGACCCAUGUUUUUUAUGAGGCAUUACCACAUUAUUUAAAACUCUAUCUUCAAAUUUGGGACAACUUUGAGUUUUUUUUAAUAUAUUUCUUUAUUUUUCUCCUCUUGUUGAAUUUUUUGGAAUAAUUCAAAUUUGAACUGUAUGUUUUCAUGGAAUAAUCGAAUUUGAUCGUUAUAAAAAUGAUAUUUAUGAUUUUUGGUUUAUGAUGAGGCUGUAUUCAGGAUCUCACAUGAAAUGUCAAGCAUUUUGUUGACCUAACAUGACGAGGUAUUUGCGAGAAAAGUGUUCUUAAAUUAUAUAAAAUCCGAACAAAGUUCAAAAAUCACGAAACUUGUUGAGGCGUCAUGUUAUUGCAUAUAGAGGCUAUGAUAAAAAAUGGAGAAGGUUUCGAGCAAGUUAUGAUGUCGAAUGUCUAAAACUCACACAUGAUCACAUGUGAUCACACUCAUCAUAUGUGUGGUCAUGUUUAGGUUUUAGGCAUUCGACGUGACAAUGUUCUCCAAAUCGUUUAAAAUUUUUAUCAUAGCCUCUACAUACGAUAACAUGAGACUUUGUCAAGAUUCAUGUUUUUUCGGACUUCGUUCACAUUUUAUAUAAUUUUAAAACAUUUAGACCACAAGGCGAUCGUCAUGUUACAUGAACAAGAUGUUUAAAAAUUCAGGCGAGUUCAUGAAUACAGCCUCAAAAUACACUUAAAAAUAUGAAUAUUAUUUUUUGAAACACUAAAUUUCAUUAUUUCAAGCACCUAUAGUUCAAAUUAACUUUUUUGAGAAUAAUGUAAGGAAACAAAAUAAAUUAAAAAAAUUAGGAAGCGAACUCAAACAAGUUUUAAUAUUUGAAAAUAGAGUUAUGAAUAAUGAGGAGAAAAGAUAUUCAUUUUUUAAGAAUUACAAACAACCAUUUUCUCUGGGAUCGCACGUUGGGGCGUCUCAUCCCUCACACUCGCCGUGAGCCGCUUCGAAUUCUUUUUUAUGUAUUGAACUUGUGAACUUGUGGACUAUGAGUUGUGGUUUGUAACAUAUUGUGGAUUUCGGACAAAUUUAGUCUUUUUGGAUAUAAAUUUGUGGUUUGUGAUUAUUUGCUGUUGAAUCGUGGUAUAUAUAUAUAUAUAUAUAUAUGCAUUGUUGUCUACAUGGGGAAACAAAAAAAAUCAGAGGUGGCUUUGCCGAGUGCAAUGGUCAUGGCACUCGGCAAAGAAAAUACCGAAACAAUAUUAAAACAUGUCUUUGCCGAGUGUUGGGAUAGGGCACUCGGCAAAGAAAAUACUGAAAAAAUAUUAAAACAAGUCUUUGCCGAGUGUUGCACUCGGCAAAGAGAGUUUUAAUUUUAAAAAAUAAAAAUCUUUGCCGAGUGUUGCACUCGGCAAAGAGCGUUAAAUCUUUAUCGAGUGUCACUGUGGCACUCGGUAACUCCUUUGCCGAGAGUCCGUAUUUUGGCACUCGGUAAAGCCGGCUUUACCGUUAACAUCUUCGCCGUAAUUCUUUGCCGAGUGCAAUUUUGCCUUUGCCGAGUGUAAUAGACACUCGGCAAAGAAUCAGCCUGCAGUAGUGACUUUAUAUAUAUAUAUAUAUAUAUAUAUAUAGACACACACACACAUUGUGUAGAGAGAAAAUUCAAAAGAAACAAGCUAAUGUUUUCCACAUGUGCAGUUUUGUCUCUAUACUGUCUCAGUAGACAACAUAGAGGCAUGUAUACAAAAAUACAAGUAGGGGCCUCCCUGCUGACCUUUAAAAAAAAAGUAGACAACAUAUAAUAGACCCAGUCAAAAAACCAGAAAUUGAAGUUUUACAAAGAGAUUGCAUGACUCUAAAUAUACAUUAUUACCAAACAAAUAAUGGCUAAAAAACAAAAAACCGUAAUAGACCUCAGUUACAUUGCGAAGAAAAUAUACUGUUGUUCAUGGUUGUAUGACCCCUCUGAAUCAACGUGCAUAUGAAUGCAGAUGACAAUGGCGCCGGCAAGUUCAGCCUUGCUCUCAGCAAGGACACCAUGGGGCUGCUAAGCCUGCAUGACAUGUCGCACCUGGACAUCGGAGAAGAACCAGCACUCCAUGAGGCCAAGGAGUUCUCAAGAAAGCACCUUGCAUCUGCCAUCAGCAACAUGGAGCCAGGCCUUGCGAGGUAUGUGAGGCAGUCACUGGACCACCCCUACCACCUGAGCCUGAUGCAGUACAAGGCAAGGCACCACCUCAGCUACCUGCAGAGCUUGCCCAAUAGGAGCACUACUGCAAUGGAGGAGUUGGCAGUUGCAGAGUUCCAGCUUAACAAAAUGCUGCAUCAGAUGGAAAUGAAAGAGAUCAAAAGGUACAUUAUAUGCAUACAUAUAUAAGCCAUCGGUCGUGUCCUUGCUAGAAAUGCAUAUAUUGACCUGUUUGGCUUAUUAUUUUCUUAACUAAUCGUCAUGUUAAUUAAUUCUAAUAGAAUUGGAGGCUACUUGUUUUUUUUUCUAAGAGUCAAGUAAAAAAGUCUCUUUAAAUAUAUAUGGAUCCUAAUUAUUGUUAGAGAAACCCCAACCCAUGUAUUGCAGAUGGUGGAUGAACCUAGGAUUAGCUCAAGAAGUACCGGUGGCUCGGGACCAGGUCCUCAAAUGGUACACAUGGUCCAUGACUAUACUCCAAGGAUCUUCCUUCUCCAAAUACAGGGUUGAGAUCACAAAGAUUAUCUCGAUUGCCUAUGUUGUGGAUGACAUAUUUGAUCUUGUUGGCACCCUGGAGGAGCUCUCCCUCUUCACCGAGGCAAUCAAAAUGUAAGCUUGGAUAUGCAUGCUUCUUUGCAAAAUAACAAUGCCACAUAUACAAUUACAAUCUGUGAGAUACAGAUAUGUAUAACCUAUAUUUAAAUUUCUGAAUGUAACACGAUUUAUAGGUGGGAUUUGGAAGCUGCUGAUUCACUCCCGUGUUACAUGAGAUCAUGCUACAGAGUUCUUUACACAGCUACAAAUGAGAUGGCAGAUAUGGCUGAGAAGGAGCAUGGGCUGAACCCUGUCGAUCAUCUCAGGAAAGCUGUAAGUUACACGCACAUAUAUAAUAUCUCCAGGAUUUUAUUUGGAUGGUAAAAUCAAUUACAUCAACAUGUUUUCAACCUAUAUGAUUGGAUGGUAAAAUCAAUUACAUCAAAAUGUUUUCAACCUAUAUGAUUCUCAGAAAGAUGUUGUACAUGUAGCUAUAUGUUAUCAAACUAUUUCGAAAUGUAGAUGUAGCUAUAUAUGAUUCCUAGUUACUGAAUCUAGCUUAAUUAAUUACAAGGAUACUGAAUGGAGAAGAAGAUUCAGAAUAUAUAAUGCUUCUACCAUUAUUGUUAAUACACAGAAGAAUUAACUACUACUACUUUUCUGUUGUAAAAAAAAAAUACUACUUUUCUUCUUUUGCAGUGGGCAGUGUUGUUUGAUGGGUUCAUGGUUGAGGCGAAAUGGCUAGCAACCGAUCAGGUCCCUUCUGCAGAUGAGUACCUGAGAAAUGGUGUCAUCACUUCAGGAGUGCCGCUCGCAUUUGUGCACAUACUCUUCCUUCUAGGGCAUCACCAUGCAGUGAGUGGUAAUGCUGCAGAGCUCACCAACAGCAUCCCUCCAGCCAUCACUAGCGCCUCCAAAAUCCUCAGACUCUGGGACGACAUGGGCAGUGCCAAGGUCAGAACGCACAAUUGUAAAAACUUUUGAAAUAACAAAUGUAUAAUUAAGAACUAGUAGCUAGUAGAGUAGCAGUAGGAGAGUGUACAUAUAUACCUUUUCCAAGAUAGGAGGCAGGAGAGAUAAAUCACUAGGUAAUAACAUGCAUGUUGAAAUAUAUAUAUAUAUCGUUUGUGGAUUUAAUUAAUUUGCAGGAUGAAGCACAGGAAGGAUUGGAUGGGUCAUACAGGGAGCUGUACCUGUUGGAGCACCCUGCCGGCGACGUGGAAGAACACAUGCGCAGGCUGAUCGCCAAGGAGUGGCAGGAGCUCAACCGGGAGUGCUUCUCCAGGAGGACCUUCUCGUCCUGCUUCGCGCAGGCCUGCCUGAACGCCGCCAGGAGGAUGGUCAGUGUCAUGUACAUGUAUGACAAGGAGCAGAAGCUCCCCGUCCUUGAG
This 8045-nucleotide long non-coding RNA is filed under the name Sorghum bicolor (sorghum). RNAcentral's name for it is "long non-coding RNA (SBIC_LNC005910)". Lineage: Eukaryota; Viridiplantae; Streptophyta; Magnoliopsida; Poales; Poaceae. The record is from RNAcentral.